CCCUUAGAUGUCCUGGGCCGCACGCGUGCUACACUGACGCAUACAGCGAGCACUUUCCAGUUCCGAGAGGCUACUGGUAAUCGUCAAUAUGCGUCGUGAUGGGGAUAGAUCUUUGGAAUUCUGGAUCUUGAACGAGGAAUGCCUAGUAAUCGCAGGUCAUUAGCCUGCGAUGAUUAAGUCCCUGCCCUUUGUACACACCGCCCGUCGCUACUACCGAUUUCGAGUGGUCAGGUGAAUCUUUCGGACUGUGGGCGCCCUUGAGGUGUUCGCGGAAAGUCAGGUAAAUCUUAUCACUUAGAGGAAGUAAAAGUCGUAACA
This 318-nucleotide ribosomal RNA is filed under the name uncultured eukaryote. RNAcentral's name for it is "partial 18S ribosomal RNA". It matches the Rfam family "Eukaryotic small subunit ribosomal RNA", at positions 1470 to 1796 of the family's 1831-position model. The record is from RNAcentral.